GCCUACCAGCUGGGCCGUCCCCUGAGAUGGGCCCCCUCCCCUGACCCCUGUCUACACUCAGCCAGAAGCUGAUUUGAGCUGGUCCCACAGUGCUGCCUGUGGGAACCCAAGCCCUUCCUGCUCCUAUCUGCCUCUGGCUGGAUGACGCCCCGGGCAAUUCCGCCCACUGUUUUGACCCCAGGCCCCAAACCUAGGUGAGGAACGCCCUCCUCACAGUCCUUCCCUGCUUCCAGUUCAGUGUUGACAGUGAGCAGUGCUCGCUUUGCUAUGGCUAGGCCCUCACUCUCCUCUCUUUUCAAGGCCCCAAGAGAGUAAGCCAUUUAUUCACACCCUAUCUUGACAGCAAAGCCGGGGCCUUGAACCUGGGGCACUGCUUUCAGCCAUUAUUCUUGCAGAGGCCCCAGAGCUCCCAGCCUGCAUUUUUGGAGUCUGAGCAGGGCCCACAGCUGUUUUGCUUCAGCUAGGAGUGAAGGCUGACAAAGAGCAAGGUCUCUGGAGAAGGAGGAAAUGUUUUCUGGAUGCCAAACUGGUGACUGUGGGGAGGUGUGGGGCAGCGGGGAGGGAGGAGCUCUCACUUGUGCCUAGGGAAAGGUCAUGGUCAAUGAGAAAGCCUUUGAUGGGGAGAGUCUGAGAUGGGACCCAGGAACAUCACCAUGAAGCUGUCCAGGAUGGAUGUGGGACCCUCUGUCAGACCAGGCCAGUUCUCUUAAUGUAAGAUCAGCAGGCCAAGGUCCUGGGAUAUGGGAGCUCCCAGGAAGUGGACUGGGAUGCCUGAGGGAUCCAAGAAUUAGCAGUGUCCUGUGUGGUCUCGCUGAGGGAAGCCAGGCAAAAUCUAGCGGCUCAGCUGUAACAGCCGGAGCUCUUGGCUCCCAAGCAACAGGAAACAAUUCUGGCUUAUUUAAGCAGAAAAGGACUUUAUCAAAAGGAUCUUGGGGAACUCACAAAAUAACCAAGAGGGCUGAAGAAUACAGUUGGUGAGUCGACCAAGGAGGCUGCACAGCAGUCAGGACCACAGCCAAAGUCAGGCAAUCCAGGGAUGACCUCGCUGCCAAAUCCAGGACUCCCUGGCAUACACUGCCACCUUGGGACGUGGAUAUGGUCCCUGUCGCCCCAGGAACUGGAAUGCCAUUGACUUGGCGACUGCCACCAUCCACCAGAAUGGACUUCUGUGCUCCUUGCAUCUCUGUAUUAUUAGUUCCCAACUCCAAGCCUUUGAUGGGGGCAUCUGAUGGAUUGAGCCUAAGUUGUUGGAGCCCAAUGAAAAAUUCUACAUUGAAGACUAAGGGAAAAAGAGGUUUCAUUAUAGAGCUGGGACUGAUUGCAUUUUCAAAAGGUGGCUGCAACAAUAUCCCACACACUUUUCUGCUGUAUAAUCUGCCACUUCUCCAUCAAGUAGAGGAGACAAUUUCUCCCCUCCUUUGAAUCUGAGUGAGUUCUGUGACUGUUUUGACUGAUAGAAUGAUGUGGAAGACAGACUGUGUGACCUGAAAGGUGAGGUCACAGAAAGCCUUGCAACUUCCACCUGGCCUGUGAAGAACACUUGCUCUUGGGAUACUCCUUCUUGGAACCCAGCCACCAUGCUGUAAGAAGCCCAAUCUACAUGCAGACACCACAUAUAAGGCAUCGUAGUCAACAGCCACAGUUAAGUUCCCAGCCGGCAGCCAACAUCAACUACCAGUCUUGUGAGUGAGCUAUCUUGGACAUCCAGCUUGGUUAAACCUUCAGAUGACUCCAGCCCCAGCUGACACCUGACUGCAACCACAUGAGAAACCAGGAAUGAAAAUCCACCAGCUGAGCCCAGUCAACUCAUAGAACUGUGAGAGAUAAUAAUAAGUUGUGGUACUAAGCCACUAGGAUUGGGGCACCAUGCAAUAAUAGGUAACCAAGACAGUAGCAACUUUGGUUAGACACAUGAGCCAUGGGAUGACACAUAAUUAGGUAUAUUUUUAAAAACUUGGAUUCAGCUUUAGGGCAAUGUGUCCCUAACAUAGAGAGGCACUAUUUCAGUUCACAUCUGCUGCCUCUGAUCAAAACACUCUCUUGCACUUCCAGAGAGAGAGAGAGAGAGAGCAAAUGUGUGUAUUUACUGACAGGUGUCCCUUUGUGUCCCCAUCUGUGUGACUGUGGAGCUCAGUGUCUCUCACACAUUCUAGUAUGAUACUUGGUGCCAUAUUUGCAGGUCCUGAGGUAAGAACCCAUGCUGUUGUCUUCAGAGAGUUUCAUGGGUUGGACUGUGCCAUAUAUGGGCAAAAAUCCACCCACACGUUUUCUUUUAAUCACCUUUAUGGAUGUAUAAUUUACAUAUAUACUUUUUUCUUAUUACUUUUUAUUUAUGUAAUUUAUUCAUUUUUUGAGAUAGGGUCUCACUCUCUUGCCCAGGCUGGAGUGCAGUGGAGUGAUCAUGGCUCACUGCAGCCUUGACCUCCUGGGCUUAAGCAAUCCUCCCACUUCAGCCACCUGAGUAGCUGGGACCACAGGCACACACCACCACUCCUGGCUAAUUUAAAAAGUUGUUUUUUUUUUUUUUUUUGUAGAGACAGGGUCUCACUAUGUUGUCAAGGCUGGUCUCAAACUCCUGGGCUCAAGCGAUCCUAGUGCCUCAGCCUUCCAAAGUUCCGGGAUUACAAGCAUGAGCCACCAUGCCUGGCAUCUUUUGUGGAUGUGUAAUUUACAUACGUACAAUAAUAUGUACCUAUUUUAAGUAUACAGUUUGAUGAGCUUUGACGAAUGUAGCCCACGAAACCACCACCAUAAUCGAAGUAUAGAACUUUUUUUUUUUUUUUUUUUGAGACGAAGUCUCUCUCUUGUCACCCAGGCUGGAGUGCAAUGGCAUGAUCCCGGCUCACUGAAACUUCCGCCUCCCAGGUUCAAGCGAUUCUCCUGCCUCAGCCUCCUGAGUAGCUGGGAUUACAGGCACCUGCCACCACGCCCAGCUAAUUUUUGUAUUUUUAGUAGAGACAGGGUUUCACCAUGCUGGCCAGGCUGGUCUCGAGCUCCUGACCUCAGGUGAUCCCCCCUCCUCGGCCUCCCAAAGUGCUGGGAUUACAGGCAUGAGCCACUGCGCCCGGCCUAUAGAACAUUUUAAUCACCCCAGAGAUGUGCCCCCUGUGCAGCCAGUUCCCUCCUCUCACCCCCCAGCCCCUGGCAAGCAUUGAUUUGCUUUGCCACUAUCAAUCAAUUUUUGUCUUUUCUGGUAUUUCAUAUGAAUGGAAUCAUAUAGGAUAGAUUUUUAUGUGACUACACACUAUUUUAGCAUAAUAUUUUUGAAGUUCUUCCAUGUUGUUGUGUAUAUCUAUAGUUAAUUUCUUUUUCUCACUGAAUUGUAUACCACUGUAUGAUGUAUCACAAUUUGUUUAUUCAUUCUCCCGUUGCUGGACAUUUGGACUGUUUAUUGUUUGGGGCUACUAUGAAUAAAACUGCUAUGGAUGUUUAUGUACAAGA
RNAcentral lists this long non-coding RNA (3441 nucleotides) under Homo sapiens (human). RNAcentral describes it as "HSALNT0407337". The record is from RNAcentral. Lineage: Eukaryota; Metazoa; Chordata; Mammalia; Primates; Hominidae.